Molecule: ribosomal RNA, 465 nt
Filed under: uncultured Klebsiella sp.
Lineage: Bacteria; Pseudomonadati; Pseudomonadota; Gammaproteobacteria; Enterobacterales; Enterobacteriaceae
Description: bacterial SSU rRNA
Rfam family: Bacterial small subunit ribosomal RNA
Source: RNAcentral
CCUACGGGAGGCUGCAGUGGGGAAUAUUGCACAAUGGGCGCAAGCCUGAUGCAGCCAUGCCGCGUGUGUGAAGAAGGCCUUCGGGUUGUAAAGCACUUUCAGCGGGGAGGAAGGCGGUGAGGUUAAUAACCUCAUCGAUUGACGUUACCCGCAGAAGAAGCACCGGCUAACUCCGUGCCAGCAGCCGCGGUAAUACGGAGGGUGCAAGCGUUAAUCGGAAUUACUGGGCGUAAAGCGCACGCAGGCGGUCUGUCAAGUCGGAUGUGAAAUCCCCGGGCUCAACCUGGGAACUGCAUUCGUAACUGGCAGGCUAGAGUCUUGUAGAGGGGGGUAGAAUUCCAGGUGUAGCGGUGAAAUGCGUAGAGAUCUGGAGGAAUACCGGUGGCGAAGGCGGCCCCCUGGACAAAGACUGACGCUCAGGUGCGAAAGCGUGGGGAGCAAACAGGAUUAGAUACCCCGGUAGUC